UACGAGGGGUGCAAGCGUUACUCGGAAUUACUGGGCGUAAAGCGUGCGUAGGUGGUUGUUUAAGUCUGCUGUGAAAGCCCUGGGCUCAACCUGGGAAUUGCAGUGGAUACUGGGCGACUAGAGUGUGGUAGAGGAUAGUGGAAUUUCCGGUGUAGCAGUGAAAUGCGUAGAGAUCGGGAGGAACAUCUGUGGCGAAGGCGACUAUCUGGGCCAACACUGACACUGAGGCACGAAAGCGUGGGGAGCAAACAGG
Molecule: ribosomal RNA, 253 nt
Filed under: uncultured bacterium
Lineage: Bacteria
Description: partial 16S ribosomal RNA
Rfam family: Bacterial small subunit ribosomal RNA
Source: RNAcentral